Molecule: ribosomal RNA, 157 nt
Filed under: Microidium phyllanthi-reticulati
Lineage: Eukaryota; Fungi; Ascomycota; Leotiomycetes; Helotiales; Erysiphaceae
Description: 5.8S ribosomal RNA
Rfam family: 5.8S ribosomal RNA (bases 1-77)
Source: RNAcentral
AAUUUAGUGAAUCAUCGAAUCUUUGAACGCACAUUGCGCCCUUUGGUAUUCCGAGGGGCAUGCCUGUUCGAGCGUCAUCACACCUCUUCGAGCCGCCUUGUGUGGUUUCCGGUGUUGGAGUCCGUCGCGUGCGACGACUCUUAAAGACAGUGGCGGG